UUGACCUCGAAUCAGGUAGGACUACCCGCUGAACUUAAGCAUAUCAAUAAGCGGAGGAAAAGAAACCAACAGGGAUUGCCCC
This 82-nucleotide ribosomal RNA is filed under the name Cordyceps militaris. RNAcentral's name for it is "partial 26S ribosomal RNA". It matches the Rfam family "Eukaryotic large subunit ribosomal RNA", at positions 1 to 81 of the family's 3401-position model. The record is from RNAcentral. Lineage: Eukaryota; Fungi; Ascomycota; Sordariomycetes; Hypocreales; Cordycipitaceae. RNAcentral also lists the same sequence under 1 other name.